AUUCUCUCUCUCCCUCUGCCCCUCCCUUGCUCAAGCACUCGUACGUGCGCGCGCGCGCUCUCUCUCUCUCUCUCUCUCUCUCUGUCUGAAAAAGAAAAAAUUCUGGGACAUUAAAACUGAAACUGAGCCUGUGACUCCCUAUCUUGGAGCUCCGUCUGCAGGGAAGGGCUGAUGGUGUCAUGUGGGCUUGUUCUGGGGCUCAAGCCCCAAGUGAGAGGGAAGAGCUCAGGGUUCACUGGGUAUGGUGUGUGUGUGUGUGUUGUGUGAGAGAGAGAGAGAGAGAGACAGAGACAGAGACAGAGAGACGGAGACACAGACAGACAGAGACAGAGAGAACUCCUCCUCUCAUACUUUUAGGAAAACUUAGGUUCCCAGAAGAUCCUGGAGGCACAUCAGUGAGCACCUCCUCCUUGUCUGGAGCUUUCCCAUAAGAAAGCCAAGAACAAACAGCAUUAACAGUCCUGUAAACAUCAUCUGGGCCAACGACUUCAUUAUAUAGGUUUGGAAACUGAGGGCCGGAAUGGACCCCAGGCUACUUACAGUCAUACAGUGCACUCUUUUUAGUGAGUUGUUCAAACUCUGGCCCAGAGGCCGGCAUAGAUCCACCCCCCCUCCUUAGAGUCUGCCCACCUCCCAGCCAACAGUCAUUUGGCUCUUACGCAGGGGCAUAGGUGGUGGCGUUUUUGAUUCCUUCCCAGGGCUCUGGAGGCUCUGGGGCAGCAAACCUGCGGACACCCACAGGCGGUCUGGAGAAGGGCACUCCUAGGAAGACAUUGAUGGAUGUCUUCCCGACGUGCAUCUGUUUUCCUUGGAGGGUCCCAUAUUUGGUAAUCACUAGAGGUUCCUUGGUGUGCUGAGCACCUAGGAAGAGAGGAGAAGGGUCACUCUGGCCACUGAAAAGACUCUGGCCUGUCUGCCAUGGCACCAGUUGCAGCUUGAAGCUUUUCACAAUUGUGUAUUUUGCCUACCUUUUCUGUGUUUCUCUCAGUAUUUUUCUCUCUCAUUAUUUAAGGUUUCAAUGCUAUGUUGGUAGGUGCAUAAAGGUUCAUGUCUAUUAUAUGAAUUAUUUUUCUGUCAUUUAAUGUAUCACUUAAUGUCAAUAAUCAUGUCAUUUAUUUUGA
Herpailurus yagouaroundi (jaguarundi) is the source of this 1121-nucleotide long non-coding RNA. RefSeq lists it as uncharacterized. NCBI's taxonomy places the organism in Eukaryota, Metazoa, Chordata, Mammalia, Carnivora, Felidae. The transcript has 2 exons. The record is from RefSeq and is a predicted model, not a curated record.